RNAcentral lists this ribosomal RNA (121 nucleotides) under Microcebus murinus (gray mouse lemur). The record is from RNAcentral. Lineage: Eukaryota; Metazoa; Chordata; Mammalia; Primates; Cheirogaleidae.
GUCUAUGGCCAUGCCACCCUGAAAGUGCCCGAUCUCAUCUUCUCUUGUGAAGCUAAGCAGGGUUAGGCCUGGUUAAGUACUUGGGUGGGAGACCACCAGGGGAUAUUGGGUGCUGUAGGAU